GUGAGGAAUAUUGGACAAUGGGCGAAAGCCUGAUGGAGCAACGCCGCGUGAAGGAUGAAGGUCUUCGGAUUGUAAACUUCUUUUAUGAGUGAAGAAUAUGACGGUAACUCAUGAAUAAGCACCGGCUAACUACGUGCCAGCAGCCGCGGUCAUACGUAGGGUGCAAGCAUUAUCCGGAGUGACUGGGCGUAAAGAGUUGCGUAGGCGGUUAUGUAAGCGAAUAGUGAAACCUGGUGGCUCAACCACACAGACUAUUAUUCGAACUGCAUAACUCGAGAAUGGUAGAGGUAACUGGAAUUUCUUGUGUAGGAGUGAAAUCCGUAGAUAUAAGAAGGAACACCAAUGGCGUAGGCAGGUUACUGGGCCAUUUCUGACGCUAAGGCACGAAAGCGUGGGGAGCGAACCGGAUUAGAUACCCGAGUAGUCC
This 427-nucleotide ribosomal RNA is filed under the name uncultured bacterium. Its description in RNAcentral is "partial 16S ribosomal RNA". It matches the Rfam family "Bacterial small subunit ribosomal RNA", at positions 354 to 796 of the family's 1533-position model. The record is from RNAcentral.